This 277-nucleotide ribosomal RNA is filed under the name Wolbachia endosymbiont of Oppiella nova. RNAcentral describes it as "partial 16S ribosomal RNA". It matches the Rfam family "Bacterial small subunit ribosomal RNA", at positions 477 to 753 of the family's 1533-position model. The record is from RNAcentral. Lineage: Bacteria; Pseudomonadati; Pseudomonadota; Alphaproteobacteria; Rickettsiales; Anaplasmataceae.
ACCCACAGAAGAAGUCCUGGCUAACUCCGUGCCAGCAGCCGCGGUAAUACGGAGAGGGCUAGCGUUAUUCGGAAUUAUUGGGCGUAAAGAGCGCGUAGGCUGGUUAGUAAGUUAAAAGUGAAAUCCCGAGGCUCAACCUUGGAAUUGCUUUUAAAACUGCUAAUCUAGAGAUUGAAAGGGGGUAGAGGAAUUCCUAGUGUAGAGGUGAAAUUCGUAAAUAUUAGGAGGAACACCAGUGGCGAAGGCGUCUAUCUGGUUCAAAUCUGACGCUGAGGCG